RNAcentral lists this small RNA (1679 nucleotides) under Pan troglodytes (chimpanzee). Its description in RNAcentral is "processed transcript". The record is from RNAcentral. Lineage: Eukaryota; Metazoa; Chordata; Mammalia; Primates; Hominidae.
CUCGGGCUGCCGUGGGCUGCGCGGGGCCCGCGGUGUAGAGUCCGCCGCCCCGGAGCCGCGUCCCGCACCCGGACGGUCCCGAGCCAUGGGGGUGUUGAUGUCCAAGCGGCAGACAGUGGAGCAGGUGCAGAAGGGUCUGCACCAGGGUUUUCCAUGAUGGCUGCCUGCGCCGCAUGGGCUACAUCCAAGGAGACAGUGCAGCGGAGGUGACGGAGAUGGCCCACACAGAAACAGGCUGGAGCUGCCACUACUGUGACAACAUCAACUUGCUGCUUACUGAGGAGGAAAUGUAUAGCCUCACGGAGACCUUUCAGCGGUGUAAAGUCAUCCCUGAUUGCUCCCUGACACUGGAGGACUUUCUGCGCUACCGCCACCAAGCAGCCAAGCGGGGGGACCGUGACAGGGCCCUGAGUGAGGAGCAAGAAGAGCAGGCGGCCCGCCAGUUUGCUGCCCUGGACCCUGAACAUCGAGGCCACAUAGAGUGGCCUGACUUCUUGUCCCAUGAGUCCCUCCUGCUUCUGCAGCAGUUGCGUCCCCAGAACUCUCUGUUGAGGCUUCUGACAGUGAAGGAGCGGGAGCGAGCCCGAGCCGCCUUCCUGGCACGGGGCAGUGGGAUCACCGUCAGUGAGGCAGAGUGCCGCCAGGCCCAGCACUCUUGGUUUUGCAAACAGUUCCCAGAGGCUCCUUCCUGCAGUGUCAGCAUCAGCCAUGUGGGUCCCAUCGCGGAUAGCAGCCCAGCCAGCAGCAGCAGCAAGAGUCAGGACAAGACCCUGCUGCCCACAGAGCAGGAGUCCAGAUUUGUGGACUGGCCUACCUUCCUGCAAGAGAAUGUCCUCUACAUCCUGGCUGCUCGCCCCAACAGCGCAGCCAUUCACCUGAAGCCCCCAGGAUAGCAUGGAGCAGAGAAGCUCGGUUUGAGGACAGUGACAUCCUCUCCCUCCUUUCCUUUCUCCCUUCCCCCACCAACCUCUGGCACAGAGACUCAUGGGGUUGGGACACUGCCAGCAUCUUAAUUUGUCACUAAGCUUUAUGGCACUGAAAUCACCAUUCCCCUCACAAUAGAGGCAGUGAAUGCAUUGCCACAAGGAGAAGCCCUGGGAGCUGUGGCAGCAUCCUCUCCUGGACCGCCCCUGCCCCACAUCAUAGACGGGACCUGCCACCACACUUAUACACAUGUGCACAUGCUACCCAGCUGUCCAUGCCUUCAGAAGCCUGGUUCUUUUUGGUUGAGAAAGGACUAAAGUCCCUUUGUGAAGCCCCUGGUAUAGAGGAGGGGGUCUCUACUCACCCCUUCUAUAGGCAGGCCAGUUCUAAUUUCCAAUAGAUAAGUCUCUGGCCAAGUGAUUCUUAGGAAGGGGGCAUGUCAGACUCGCAUGCCUGCCUAGAGCUCCUGGAGAUCCUAAUGGGCCCCGCUUUCUCCACCAAAAAUCCCUUCUGCAGUCAGCUGCUGUUACUAGUAGGUGUGCAUUAUGUACCUCGGCUGUACUGAGUUGGGAAAAGAGUUAAACAUCACCACUGAAGUUCAGCCCUUUAUUUAUUUAAAUUCCAAUUCCUGGUGACAGAAAAGGCAACUAGCCUGGAGAAUCCUGACUGGAAGAGGGGGAGGCAGCCCUUCCCAGGGACUCGGGAUUCUAGGAACCUCUCAGUCAGGUCACCUGAGUCCAAAAGUCUUUAGCAGG